UGUACUAGUGAUAUAUUAAAGAAGCAAAGUUGGUUAUAUAAAUUCCUGGUGAUAGUUUGUUCAAUAUUCUUUGCUUACAUCUCACUUUUGGAAUCUUUAUCCUCUGAGUAUAUAAGAAUAACAAAAUCACUCUGAUUUUUAUUUUUUGGUAGAUUCCCGAGAGCUUUUGAUUAGCUUAAAGUUUUCAGAGAAAGUUUUUCCUCUCUUGAUGACCACUGAGAAUGAGGGUUGUUGAGAUGGGAUAUGCAUCUCCCUAGCAAUUCCCAGUUUAUUAGUUAUAGCAAACAUAUUAGAAGACAGUUUCCUGAUUUCAAUAUAUUCUUCUUUUUGAAGAGCUAUGUUAGAAUUCUCAGGACAAAGAAGAAGCAGCUUCAUAGUGUUUUGACAUUUGUUCAAAGACAAAUCUUCAUUUUGACUAUGGGAUCCAUGAGGAGCGAAGAGUCAGAAGAAACCAUAUGUGAAUUACCAAUCAAAGAUAAUUCUUAAAAUCACUAUUUAAGAGCUGAAAUUAAAACUAAGGCUCACAGUAAGUAAAAGGAUUAAGUAUUAAUUGUCAGAUCAAAAUUAAGUUCAAAACUGUUUCAUCAAACUUGUCCAGAAGAGUGAAAAGAUGACAUAUAAAUAUCCAAAAGUAAUCCAGUUGCAUCCAUGUAAAAUAAAUGACACUAGGCACAAACACUAAUGAAUACUCAAACACAUCCAAACUUUAGGAUGGCAUAAAUAGUUUUGAGAUGCAUUCAUUGGAAUGAGUGAGAGAGAUGAAAUCCAAAAAACUGUUGGAGUGGACAGAAGGGCAAGAGUAUCCAGCUGAUUCAAUCCAAAUGCAUUCAAUUGCUUUAUAGCAGUCAUUCCUUUCCUGAUAAACUGCAGCUAAAUCUAGUUUGCACAUGGAUAAGUGACAUUGGGUCUGGAGUUACAAUACACCAAUGACAAUCCAGUUAUAAAGGAACAG
Molecule: long non-coding RNA, 952 nt
Filed under: Androctonus crassicauda
Lineage: Eukaryota; Metazoa; Arthropoda; Arachnida; Scorpiones; Buthidae
Source: RNAcentral